AAGAAAGCUGAUUGUCGGUCAGAAAUGCUCUGCGUUUAGUUAUAUAUUAAACGUUUUUCUUUUGAAUUGAAUGGUCAUUAUAUACAUUUGUCAUCUCUAUGUGGAAAUUUUGAUAUCCUUGUAUUACUUAAUUGUCUCCGAGUUAGUCUGAUAUCAUUAGUCAUGUGUAAGGUGAAGAUAAUAUUAAUCACAUCUAUUCUAGGGCGAAGUAUCAAGUGAAAACGCUGAUUCAGUGAAAAUCUGGAAACUCACCUCGUGAGUCAUCAGAUCAAUAAAGAGCGGCAUAGAUCUUAGGUCGUAUCCCACCAGCCACUUAAACACUAAUUAGCAAAUAACCCCUUCAUUUACGCACCAGGUCCUUACGUUUCGACUACGAUCGAUUCGUCUUUCAAUCUCGUCGGCGAGAUGGAGACUUGCCCUACGCCGGCCACGACGGGCCGUCCGUCGACCGUGAACUACUCCCUCCGCCGGCCACGAAGAGCCCCACGCCAGCCACGAUGCGUCCUCCGCCGGCCACGAGGGGCCCUCCGCUGGCCGUGAACUAUCUCCCUCCGCCGGCCAUGUUCCCUGUCGACGCAUCGGUGCCGCCUCUUCAGGACCUCGCUCCUCCUCGUACUGUGCCAUGCCUCAACCUCGUCUUAGCCCUGCACAGGUAAGCAACAGCUGCUUCGGUUACUGAUUGUACUAAUAUGGCGUCGGUCUUAUUGCCACAACAUCGUCAUAUCCCUCCACCUGAUGGUAGAACAAGCACUACCUGAAUCAUGUUAACCUGAAUGUCAUAGUUGUCUUUCUUCAGUUGUACUUUUGAAGUAUCUGGUUUGGUCUUUCUUGUUUGCAUCUUCGUCGGUGUACUGUAGCAUGUACAUCAGUUGCCGGCAGUAGAAUAUGUAAAACUGGACUUGUAAAUCCUACUUGAGAGCAGUAGAGUAAAUUACAAAAACAAAAAAUAUGGGAUGAGUUCCCAAAUUAAAAAGGGGAUGGAGAAGGGAAGAGAAAUAAGAAUGGAGAGGGGAAGAAAAAUGUGGGAGGACCGAAAAAGCCUCGCACCUGCAGGACAUGUAACCAAGUUGGCUUCCAUGACAGUCGUAGUUGCCCCCAAAAGAAUCAACAAUAAUAAAGGUUCCUUUAUUUCGAUUCGAGGCAACCGCAUGUUUUUAUUUUGGGCAGUACAAGAUUGAAGUUGAAGCCUCAAUAUUUUCUUCUCUGAAUUUUGUACUUCUGAGAAUCAUCUAGUUAUGUAGCCUCAACCUUGUACUCCCUCCAUUCCAAAUUACUCGUCGUGGUUUUAGUUCAAAUUUGGAACUAAAACCACGACGAGUAAUUUGGAACGGAGGGAGUAGUUAAUUAAGUCAAUGCCGUACCUAUCAUAUCGAUUCUGGCCAUACUUAGCAUAUCGAUUCUGGAUGUUACUAUUGGUGAUGAAACUUAAAAUAUUUAGUACUGAUUGUACUACUAUUAUGUUGCCUCCAAUUAAUUGCUUCGGAUACUCGACUAAGUUUGUUGUCUGCUGCAUGAUAGUAACUUGUUGUAGUCAGGUGGCAUGAUAUCUUGCCGUCUCAUUUGUUUUUGUCCUUUUGUUUAAUUUCUGCCAAUUGCAUGAAA
Long non-coding RNA from Aegilops tauschii subsp. strangulata, 1602 nucleotides. RefSeq lists it as uncharacterized. Lineage: Eukaryota; Viridiplantae; Streptophyta; Magnoliopsida; Poales; Poaceae. The record is from RefSeq and is a predicted model, not a curated record.